Molecule: RNA transcript, 2010 nt
Organism: Schistocerca piceifrons (Central American locust)
Lineage: Eukaryota; Metazoa; Arthropoda; Insecta; Orthoptera; Acrididae
Gene name: putative transferase CAF17 homolog, mitochondrial
Exons: 4
Source: RefSeq, a predicted model, not a curated record
UAAUAUUAUUGUUUACAUAGUAUUGAGUGUUACGUGUUUAGAGGUAUGUUUGGAUUCAUGUCGUUCAUGUAGAUCGUUAAUUUCCCGCAAAAUGUAAAUCAGAGCAUACGAUGAGAUAUCUCUUAUCGUUGACGUUGUUUGUAAGUAAACCGUUGUUCUCAUAUUUUUUCAAGCGUUUACAGAUAAGAAUCAGAUUCAUCUUGGAGACUGCUCUGAACUGUACAUAAUCAAGAAUACAGAAUGUUUACGCUACUGAGCAGGAGAUCACUGAAAUGUUUUCAACUUACCGCAUUGAACAAUAGAACAUUUACUGAAUCGUUUUCCAAAUCAAGAGGAAAUGUUUAUGCUGUAGAAAAUCUUACGCAACGUGGGCUUCUGAAGGUGCAAGGAGUUGAUGUUCACAACUUUUUGCAAGGACUAAUAACAAAUGAUAUCCGUCAUUUAGAAAGUAUGAAUUCUAUUUACACGUUGUUUCUGAACGUAAAAGGACGUGUUAUGUGUGAUACAAUAAUUUAUAAAACUAGAGAAGAAAAUGUUCUUUUGAUUGAAUGUGAUUCGUCUUACAUUCAUUUACUUCAAAAACAUCUUAAGUUAUACAGAGUACGCAGGAAAAUCGACAUAGAUGUUGCUGACGAUAAAUUGAAAGUAUGGGUUUUUUAUAGACCGAUUGAUGAAUUAGAUUUCUCACAAGGGAAAGUUUCGUAUGCCAAGGAUAUCGUAUCACCUGAAACUCUUGGACUUUACAGUCAUCGUGAUGAUGUGAUCAUAUGUCGCGAUCCAAGAGUAGCGGCACUGGGAUAUCGUGUUGUUGCCCCCGUAGAUGAAAUUGUUCGUGAUACUUUUGCAAAAGAAUUAGGUGGUGGUUCAUUAUAUGAUGGAUUCUUGAAUUACAGAGUUCACAGAUACGUUUUAGGAAUAGGAGAAGGCAUAUGUGACCUACCACCUGGAGUGUCUUUCCCUUUGGAAGCAAAUAGUGAUUAUCUGCAUGGUGUAAGCUUUCACAAAGGUUGCUAUAUAGGACAAGAACUUACAGCACGAACGCACCAUACUGGUGUUGUUAGGAAACGCUUGAUGCCAGUGUUUUUUAGGUCCAAACCAGAAAUAGAAAUACCAUCUGAUGCACCUAUACAGCUACUAGACUCUUCCAAAAAAUCAGUCGGUAAAUUGAGGGCCGUGGAAGGUAAAGUUGGGCUGGGGCUGUUGAGAGUAACAGAAGCCAUAGCAGCAAAAAAUAUUACUGUGAUGGGCAUUAUAGGAGAGACUUGCAAACCACAGUGGUGGCCACAGGAAGCUCCGAAGGAUCGCCUUGCUGUGAGCCGGGAAGCAUGAAUGCUGUUGCAGGAGGAUAAACAAGUAGAUUUCUCCUGUUGUCAUCAAGAAAUAAUAGGAAACUAAUGUAAUAGUGUUUGUUUCCAUGGUAAUACUGACUACAUAGACCCCCGUUACUGGCAAUAACGAUUCACUAUGAUGGCAGAAACAGAUGGACAGAAUAGACAAAAUGAAGGAAAUAUAGUGGAAGCUCCUGUUGCAGAUAAGCCAGAUGAAAGUGGCGUAUUCUGUUGUUAUAUAUGUGGUCUGGAAGAGCACUAUGACUAUUUUGGACAGAAACCACCAUUUUUGAAAAAGAUAUUGUUUACUGAAGACAGUUACAUUAUGAGGAACCCAUUUACACCACCUAGACAAAAUGAUUUUCUGUUAUUAGGUUCAAAGUGUUCCAGUUGUCACCAGCCUGUAUGCCAAUUUCAGAAAUGCAGUAUUUUUUAUUGUAGGAGAUACUGUACUACAUGUGCUAAAGAACACAUUGACAGUUUUCCUGGAGCUAUUCAGAACAAGAUAAAAAUGCAUGAUUUAGCAGUAAAUAGUGUCAUCAAAUGUGCAAAAUAAAAGUAACUGGAAGUUUUCAUGAUUCUGUACUUCAUCAGUGUGAAAGAUAAAAUUUCAGGAUGUGAUCUUGCCAAAAGAUUUCUGACUGUGCUAUUGUAAAUAUUUUAUGAUAUCAAUAAAAGAAAU